ACCUCCCCUUGCGGGCGGGAUUUCUAGCGUCGCGGCGGAGCGCAGGGCCUCGCGGCCUUCCGGGCAGCGGGCAGGAAACUGGAAGGGGUUCCUGAGCCCGCGAAUCUGCAGGGGAAGUAGAAGGACGUCUGUGUGUGCCCUUCUUCAAGUGUCUGGAGCUCAGAGAUGCAGCCCAGGGGAGGGAACAGUGACUAGUUAAGGAGGCCAUGCUUACUGUUGCUUCCAGAGUCCAUGUCAACACUGAGUCUUCAGCUGCUGGUGGCAGCUGCUCAGCAGACCCUGGGCAUGGGGAGGAGCCGGGGCCCACCCCGAGCCGUGUGCCUUCAUCUAGCCGGAGAGGUGCUGGCUGUGGCCAGGGGACUUAAGCCAGCUCUGCUCUAUGAUUGCAACUGUGCAGGGGCAGCAGAGCUCCAGAGCUAUCUGGAGCAGCUGCAGGGCCUGGGCUUCCCGACCCGGGGGCUUCACAUUCUUGAGAUUGGAGAAAACAGCCUGAUUGUCUGUCCUGAGCGUGUGUGUCAGCACUUGGAGCAGGUGCUGCUUGGUGCCGUAGCCUUUGUGGAUGUUUCCAGCUCUCAGCCUCACCCUUCCAUCUGCUCCCUGGACCAGCUUCAGGACUUGAAGGCUCUCCUGGCUGAGAUCGUCACUCAUUUGCAGGGACUGAAGACGGACCUGUCCCUGGCAGUCUCCAGCAGCAGGCUCCGUUCCUCAGACUGGAAUCUCUGUACUGUGUUUGGGAUCCUCCUGGGCUAUCCUGUCCCCUAUACCUUUCACAUGAGCCAGGGAGGUGACAAUUGCUUAGCCCUGACUCCACUACGGGUAUUCACUGCCCGGAUCUCUUGGCGACACAGUCAACCACCAGUCUUGCUCUAUUCCUUUAGCGUCCCAGAGAGCUUGUUCCCGGCCCUGAGGGACAUUCUAAAUACUUGGGAGAAGGACCUUAGAACUCGAUGUAGGACUCAGAAUGACUUUGCUGACCUCAGCAUCUCCUCCAAGGUGGUCACCCUGCCUGCUGUGGCCCUCUGACUGUAACUCUUUCCUCGCAUAGAAGGUGCUCGCCCUGUGGCAAGCCUUGGGUUGGUGGAGGAGAAAAAGCAUGUUAUACCCGUUUCUCACUUUGUUACUCCCAGAGGAUCAAACCACUUUACUAGGGGUCCCUGGCCUCUAAGCCAACGUCACUGGCCCAGGGAGCCACAGCCAGCGGGGAAAGUGACUGUGAUGAGAAAACAGAAGGCCCUGUGCUCUGGAUAAGUGAGGCGUGUUUGCCCACUCCAGAUAUAUGAAGAAUCCUUGGGAUGCCAAGGCAGCAGACCCUGAGGGCUGAGAGUGAGCGUUUCUCCUGUUCCUGGAGCUGUAAGGACUGACUCUGAAGAAGACCUGUCGGGAAACACAAGGAGCUUGCCUGUGCUGGCGUGUCGACUGCGAAGAGUGUCUUUUCAGAACUCUGCUUGAAAGCGUACUUCUUAACCGUGUCCCCACCUCUAGUUGGCUGAAUUGUCACCCCCCCUUCCCCGAUUCACAUGUUGUCGUCCUAACCCCUAGGCCUUCAAAACGUGACCCUGUUUGGAGAUGGGUCCUCCACGGAGGAGGUGGAUUGGGGCAUUAGGAUGGGUCCUAACCUGACACGACUGGCAUCCUCAGAGAAGGGAGAGUUUGGGCGCAGAGGUGGCUAGCUGGAAGAUGCGAAGAGGGGAGAAGACAGCCGUCCGCAGGGGAAGUGGCCCAGAACAGACCCUUCCCCCGGAGCCCUCGGGAGGAAGCACCCCCCACACCGCCGGCCCUGGAUUUUGGACUUCUCGCCUCCAGGACUAUGAGAAAAUAAAUGCUUGUUCUUUAAGUCA
Phacochoerus africanus (Common warthog) is the source of this 1838-nucleotide RNA transcript. It is a transcript of the gene named chromosome 11 C1orf74 homolog, with no coding region annotated. Lineage: Eukaryota; Metazoa; Chordata; Mammalia; Artiodactyla; Suidae. The transcript is spliced from 5 exons. The record is from RefSeq and is a predicted model, not a curated record.